Molecule: ribosomal RNA, 429 nt
Filed under: Acidobacteriota bacterium
Lineage: Bacteria; Pseudomonadati; Acidobacteriota
Description: Acidobacteria bacterium partial 16S ribosomal RNA
Rfam family: Bacterial small subunit ribosomal RNA
Source: RNAcentral
UGGGGAAUUUUUGACAAUGGGGGAAACCCUGAUCCAGCCAUCCCGCGUGUGCGAUGAAGGCCUUCGGGUUGUAAAGCACUUUUGGCAGGAAAGAAACGUCAUGGGUUAAUACCCCGUGAAACUGACGGUACCUGCAGAAUAAGCACCGGCUAACUACGUGCCAGCAGCCGCGGUAAUACGUAGGGUGCAAGCGUUAAUCGGAAUUACUGGGCGUAAAGCGUGCGCAGGCGGUUCGGAAAGAAAGAUGUGAAAUCCCAGAGCUCAACUUUGGAACUGCAUUUUUAACUACCGGGCUAGAGUGUGUCAGAGGGAGGGGGAAUUCCGCGUGUAGGAGUGAAAUGCGUAGAUAUGCGGAGGAACACCGAUGGCGAAGGCAGCCACCUGGGAUAACACUGACGCUCAUGCACGAAAGCGUGGGGAGCAAACAGG